GCGGAGUCACGCGGGGCACGUACGCUGUCCGCAGCCUCCCGCUAGCGCCGGCGCGGGGAGACUCGCCGGGCUGGGGCUCCCGGCGCGGGGCGAGGAGUGGCCAGGGGUGGCCCCCGGGCCAGGGCUGCCUGAGACCAGCCUUUCCUCGGGCUAAUUCCUUCCUUCCUUCCAUUCCCUGUGUCUGCUUCGCACGCACCCCGCCCCGUGGUCUCUGGGUACCGUGUGCUCAACUUCCAGGUCCAGUUUGUUCACCUUACAAAUAAAAUGUUUUCUACUUCCGAGUGCUGCAAUCUCCACCUGGGAUCUGAGAGUCAAGCUGGAUUUUGCCUGUUGCUUGCAUCACUGCUGCUAAUAAAUAUUCAGCAAUCACAACUCUCCACUAAAAGAUUCUGUUGAUGGUGUAUAUGAGAGAGAGAAUCCAGCGGCCUAUCCCAAAGCUGUGUUGGCUCUGCAGGGAUAACACAAAUACAAUCUUAUUUGAUUCAGUAAGAAUGUAUUGCACCCCUCCUGCCAGGAAGCCCUGAAAUUCACAAGAUUUGAAGACAACAGACAGCACAGAAAGUGUUUGGCCAUUCCUGGAUUUUACUAAGGGCUGGUGCAGUGAUUGAGAAAAGGGGUGACAUGCUGGAAAUGAUUGACCCAAUGAAGAUGGGCCUAAAGCAAACCCUCAGAUCUGAACACAGUGAAUUUUGCGUGAAGGUUUGGUUAACCUUAGAUGGCUGGGCCAUAGCUCUAUAAUGGAAUGAACCAAAACCUGAAUACAAACUCUGUGGAAGUUUGGAUCUGGUGCCAAAUCAAACUCGUGGUCCAUCUAGUCCAGUACCCUGUAUCUGGCCAGUUCCAGGGGAUUCAGAAGAAGAUGCAAGAAAUCCUAUAAUGGACAAGUUUCAAAGACCAUGUUUUUUGUGAAAGUUUCUGCAUAAAAGUUCUGCAGUCAGUGCUUAUUCUCUGAGGCCUGUGGCUUUGAGUAUUUUUUAGUCUUUGAUAAUUUUUGAAUCCUGUCUGUUGUAACUGUGAGUGUUUUUAUUAUUUAAAUUAAAUGUCUAAUCCAU
Mauremys reevesii (Reeves's turtle) is the source of this 1052-nucleotide long non-coding RNA. RefSeq lists it as uncharacterized. Lineage: Eukaryota; Metazoa; Chordata; Testudines; Geoemydidae. The record is from RefSeq and is a predicted model, not a curated record. The transcript has 5 exons.